UUACGUGAAAAACCUUUAUGAAUAAGGAAAAAAUCACGGCCCGAGAAGAGCAACUGAUUUCAUUAUAGCAAAGAUUUUACAAUUUGUGGUACCGAGUAAAAUACUCCAAUACCAUUGCAUGCUCAAAAGAAAUAAUCCUCUUUUGAUUUUUCCACCUCACCACAAAUACCGCUCAUACUCUCUAUAUUUUUCCUUAUAGAAUAUUUUGCCUCACUUUAUCUCCGUUUGGUAUUUUACUAAUGAUCGAGGAGCUCUCUAUUUAUAGAGAUUCAAUAUUCUUGCAGAUGUCAUCAUGACGCCAAAUGAAAGAUAGGAACUUCAAACUCUUCAAUGUGAACAAAUCAAAACCUCGGCUGCCAAAUCUAUAAAAGACGCUGACAUGAGAGGUCUUUAUUAAAGGAAGAAAAAUAUCUUCCUUAAAUCAUGGGAUGGACCUAUCGGUUGUUAAAUUGUGUGACCAUUUCAUCUAAAAAUAUGCGUGUAGAACAUGCGUACCGUGUUAAGGCCAGCAAGAACGG
This 518-nucleotide long non-coding RNA is filed under the name Nicotiana tabacum (common tobacco). RNAcentral's name for it is "long non-coding RNA (NTAB_LNC016262)". Lineage: Eukaryota; Viridiplantae; Streptophyta; Magnoliopsida; Solanales; Solanaceae. The record is from RNAcentral.